RNAcentral lists this long non-coding RNA (202 nucleotides) under Homo sapiens (human). RNAcentral describes it as "non-protein coding lnc-TOPBP1-4:1". The record is from RNAcentral. Lineage: Eukaryota; Metazoa; Chordata; Mammalia; Primates; Hominidae.
CAUGGCGGCGCUCUACGCCUGCACCAAGUGCCACCAGCGUUUCCCCUUCCAGGUGCUGUCUCAGGGGCAGCAGCUGUGCAAGGAAUGUCGGAUUGCACACCCUGUUGUGAAGUGCACCUACUGCAGGACUGAGUACCAGCAGGAGAGUAAAACCAAUACAAUAUGCAAGAAAUGUGCUCAGAACGUGCAGUUGUAUGGAACG